AGAUUAAGUUAUUAAGGGCGCACGGUGGAUGCCUUGGCACUAGAAGCCGAUGAAGGACGUUACUAACGACGAUAUGCUUUGGGGAGCUGUAAGUAAGCUUUGAUCCAGAGAUUUCCGAAUGGGGAAACCCAGCAUGAGUUAUGUCAUGUUAUCGAUAUGUGAAUACAUAGCAUAUCAGAAGGCACACCCGGAGAACUGAAACAUCUUAGUACCCGGAGGAAGAGAAAGAAAAUUCGAUUCCCUUAGUAGCGGCGAGCGAAACGGGAAGAGCCCAAACCAACAAGCUUGCUUGUUGGGGUUGUAGGACACUCUAUACGGAGUUACAAAGGACGACAUUAGACGAAUCAUCUGGAAAGAUGAAUCAAAGAAGGUAAUAAUCCUGUAGUCGAAAAUGUUGUCUCUCUUGAGUGGAUCCUGAGUACGACGGAGCACGUGAAAUUCCGUCGGAAUCUGGGAGGACCAUCUCCUAAGGCUAAAUACUCUCUAGUGACCGAUAGUGAACCAGUACCGUGAGGGAAAGGUGAAAAGCACCCCGGAAGGGGAGUGAAAUAGAACCUGAAACCGUGUGCUUACAAGUAGUCAGAGCCCGUUAAUGGGUGAUGGCGUGCCUUUUGUAGAAUGAACCGGCGAGUUACGAUUUGAUGCAAGGUUAAGCAGUAAAUGUGGAGCCGUAGCGAAAGCGAGUCUGAAUAGGGCGUUUAGUAUUUGGUCGUAGACCCGAAACCAGGUGAUCUACCCUUGGUCAGGUUGAAGUUCAGGUAACACUGAAUGGAGGACCGAACCGACUUACGUUGAAAAGUGAGCGGAUGAACUGAGGGUAGCGGAGAAAUUCCAAUCGAACCUGGAGAUAGCUGGUUCUCUCCGAAAUAGCUUUAGGGCUAGCCUCAAGUGAUGAUUAUUGGAGGUAGAGCACUGUUUGGACGAGGGGCCCCUCUCGGGUUACCGAAUUCAGACAAACUCCGAAUGCCAAUUAAUUUAACUUGGGAGUCAGAACAUGGGUGAUAAGGUCCGUGUUCGAAAGGGAAACAGCCCAGACCACCAGCUAAGGUCCCAAAAUAUAUGUUAAGUGGAAAAGGAUGUGGCGUUGCCCAGACAACUAGGAUGUUGGCUUAGAAGCAGCCAUCAUUUAAAGAGUGCGUAAUAGCUCACUAGUCGAGUGACACUGCGCCGAAAAUGUACCGGGGCUAAACAUAUUACCGAAGCUGUGGAUUGUCCUUUGGACAAUGGUAGGAGAGCGUUCUAAGGGCGUUGAAGCAUGAUCGUAAGGACAUGUGGAGCGCUUAGAAGUGAGAAUGCCGGUGUGAGUAGCGAAAGACGGGUGAGAAUCCCGUCCACCGAUUGACUAAGGUUUCCAGAGGAAGGCUCGUCCGCUCUGGGUUAGUCGGGUCCUAAGCUGAGGCCGACAGGCGUAGGCGAUGGAUAACAGGUUGAUAUUCCUGUACCACCUAUAAUCGUUUUAAUCGAUGGGGGGACGCAGUAGGAUAGGCGAAGCGUGCGAUUGGAUUGCACGUCUAAGCAGUAAGGCUGAGUAUUAGGCAAAUCCGGUACUCGUUAAGGCUGAGCUGUGAUGGGGAGAAGACAUUGUGUCUUCGAGUCGUUGAUUUCACACUGCCGAGAAAAGCCUCUAGAUAGAAAAUAGGUGCCCGUACCGCAAACCGACACAGGUAGUCAAGAUGAGAAUUCUAAGGUGAGCGAGCGAACUCUCGUUAAGGAACUCGGCAAAAUGACCCCGUAACUUCGGGAGAAGGGGUGCUCUUUAGGGUUAACGCCCAGAAGAGCCGCAGUGAAUAGGCCCAAGCGACUGUUUAUCAAAAACACAGGUCUCUGCUAAACCGUAAGGUGAUGUAUAGGGGCUGACGCCUGCCCGGUGCUGGAAGGUUAAGAGGAGUGGUUAGCUUCUGCGAAGCUACGAAUCGAAGCCCCAGUAAACGGCGGCCGUAACUAUAACGGUCCUAAGGUAGCGAAAUUCCUUGUCGGGUAAGUUCCGACCCGCACGAAAGGCGUAACGAUUUGGGCACUGUCUCAACGAGAGACUCGGUGAAAUCAUAGUACCUGUGAAGAUGCAGGUUACCCGCGACAGGACGGAAAGACCCCGUGGAGCUUUACUGUAGCCUGAUAUUGAAAUUCGGCACAGCUUGUACAGGAUAGGUAGGAGCCUUUGAAACGUGAGCGCUAGCUUACGUGGAGGCGCUGGUGGGAUACUACCCUAGCUGUGUUGGCUUUCUAACCCGCACCACUUAUCGUGGUGGGAGACAGUGUCAGGCGGGCAGUUUGACUGGGGCGGUCGCCUCCUAAAAGGUAACGGAGGCGCUCAAAGGUUCCCUCAGAAUGGUUGGAAAUCAUUCAUAGAGUGUAAAGGCAUAAGGGAGCUUGACUGCGAGACCUACAAGUCGAGCAGGGUCGAAAGACGGACUUAGUGAUCCGGUGGUUCCGCAUGGAAGGGCCAUCGCUCAACGGAUAAAAGCUACCCCGGGGAUAACAGGCUUAUCUCCCCCAAGAGUUCACAUCGACGGGGAGGUUUGGCACCUCGAUGUCGGCUCAUCGCAUCCUGGGGCUGUAGUCGGUCCCAAGGGUUGGGCUGUUCGCCCAUUAAAGCGGUACGCGAGCUGGGUUCAGAACGUCGUGAGACAGUUCGGUCCCUAUCCGUCGUGGGCGUAGGAAAUUUGAGAGGAGCUGUCCUUAGUACGAGAGGACCGGGAUGGACAUACCUCUGGUGUACCAGUUGUCGUGCCAACGGCAUAGCUGGGUAGCUAUGUGUGGACGGGAUAAGUGCUGAAAGCAUCUAAGCAUGAAGCCCCCCUCACGAUGAGAUUUCCCAACUUCGGCUAUAAGAUCCCUCAAAGAUGAUGAGGUUAUUAGGUUCGAGGUGGAAGCAUGGUGACAUGUGGAGCUGACGAAUACUAAUCGAUUGAAGACUUAAUCAAAA
Molecule: ribosomal RNA, 2926 nt
Filed under: Staphylococcus aureus
Lineage: Bacteria; Bacillati; Bacillota; Bacilli; Caryophanales; Staphylococcaceae
Description: 23S ribosomal RNA
Rfam family: Bacterial large subunit ribosomal RNA
Source: RNAcentral